Non-coding RNA from Acanthosepion pharaonis, 117 nucleotides. NCBI's taxonomy places the organism in Eukaryota, Metazoa, Mollusca, Cephalopoda, Sepiida, Sepiidae. The record is from the annotation of a GenBank genome assembly.
UGACGGCCAUAUCACGUUCGAACACCGGUUCCCAUAUGAUCCUCGAAGUUAAACAACGUCGAGCCUGGUCAGUACCUGGGUGACUGAUGACCGCUAGGGAAUACUAUGUGCUGUAAG